AAAAAAAGCCGGAAUAGCU
This 19-nucleotide transfer RNA is filed under the name Brachythecium rutabulum. Its description in RNAcentral is "partial tRNA-Phe". RNAcentral also lists the same sequence under 3 other names. Lineage: Eukaryota; Viridiplantae; Streptophyta; Bryopsida; Hypnales; Brachytheciaceae. The record is from RNAcentral.